RNAcentral lists this long non-coding RNA (833 nucleotides) under Amborella trichopoda. RNAcentral describes it as "long non-coding RNA (ATRI_LNC003053)". The record is from RNAcentral. Lineage: Eukaryota; Viridiplantae; Streptophyta; Magnoliopsida; Amborellales; Amborellaceae.
GAGAUUGCAAGGGUUGGAAUCGGGAGCCCUGUUGAGUCGUAUUACGUUUAACUCGUUGCCAUCUCUUCUCCGGGGCCUUCGAUCUUCCUCUGCCCUUUCUUUCUAUCCUAACAAAUCCCUCAUCAUUCUUCUGUUCAUUCACCCCAUUUCCUUUUGGUCUUCUCUCCCCAUGGCCCUUCUCCCCUUGUUCUUUCCCUCGAGCUCCUUCACAUUCAUCUCCCAAGUGCCCAAAUAUCUUACACUUAGGGCAGAAAAGGGGGAUAAAAUCAUAGUAAAUCCCAUACUCUUGACGUCUCCUCUUCACCAUUUUGCACUAAGACAACCGGUGGAAAUUUGCCUUGAAUGUCCAUCUCGACACAUAUGCACACAUAUCCCCUUCGCGCCCGGCUCGAAGUAAUCCUGUCCAAGAAAAGAGGCUUUCCAAGGAGGUUCACGAUCGUUCCCAAACUUCUCGGCCUCCAUAGUUCAUCAUCAAGCCCUGGGAUUCUGAUAAAAAUGGGGAUUUGAAGAUUGUCGACCUCGUCUAGUUUUAGGCUUGGCUGUCAUCUCUUCAGUACUAAGCAUUUGCCCGCAAUGAAGCACGGACCUACCAAUAGUGCAGCUUCCAUAUCUUCCCUAUUCGAAAAUCUUAUUAGGAAUGCUCCCGGACCCUUGGGGAUGAUAUCAAAAUCUCCUUUUGCAGCCCAUCUUCUUAUUAAACUCCCUUGAAGGAGUGUCCAAUUCGGCCUUGGACCUGAGAGCAUUCCAAUGAGGCUAAGUUCCAUCUCUUUGCAGCCUUCUUCAUAUUCUUCCUUUGGAAUGCAAGCCUUAGGGAUACCGUUCUCAAGUACAGG